Molecule: small RNA, 3655 nt
Filed under: Pan troglodytes (chimpanzee)
Lineage: Eukaryota; Metazoa; Chordata; Mammalia; Primates; Hominidae
Description: retained intron
Source: RNAcentral
AUAUAUAUUUUUGUUUGUUUGUUCUUGUUUUGAGAUGGAGUUUCGCUCUUGUUGCCCAGGCUGUAGUGCAAUGGCCCGAUCUCAGCUCACUACAACCUCCGCCUUCUGGGUUCAAGCAAUUCUCCUGCUUCAGCCUCCCAAGUAGCUGGGAUUACAGGCAUGCGCCCCCACGCCCGGCUAAUUUUUUGUAUUUUUAGUAGAGAUAGGGUUUCUCCAUGUUGGUCAGGCUGGUCUCGAACUCCCGACCUCAAGUGAUCCACCCGCUUUUGGCCUCCCAAAGUGCUGGGAUUAUAGGCGUGAGCCCCCGCGCCCGGCCAUCCUAUAUUUUUUGACCAUCAUUUGAUAAAAUAAAUAAUUUAAACCUGCUGUUAGAAAAGUAACAACUGAAUAAAUAAUGCAAUAAUUAUACAGCUGGAUUAUUUUGUAUAAUUCACUUUCCUUAGGUUUUGCUUAAACAACUUGGUACAAGUCUAUUCCAAAAGGUACACAUGACUCAUACAGAGUAGACAUAUGUCACAUAUUUUAUUCGGCUCAUUAAUUAGCAAGGGAAUCUGUAUUUGAGGAAGUGUUCAAUAUUAGAAUAUUAGAAUAGGGAUUGCUAGGUUAGAUUACAAAACUAAUGUCUUACAGGGAAACCUCAUAUAACAUGAGCAUUUAUUUAAUAACACAGUGUUACAUUUUCCUAGAAUGGGCUUGUUAAAUAAUGCUUCUGUAUGAUAUUGAAAGGAUGUAGUUAUCUUGGCCUUUUCGUCAGGUUUUAGAUAAUUAUUUUUAACAUCGGAAAUUGUUUUAUAAUCAGUUAAGCCCUGUGAAUUUUUAUCUUGCCAAUUUUAAGUUCAUGAUGAUUUUUUAGAUACAGGUUCUCCCUCCCCCGCAAGCUCCUUGUGAAGUCCAAACCCACAUUUAGAAUUGACAGAACUGGGGUGUUCCAACUUUCAAAGUGGAAAGCUUCUAGGUUUGUCUUAGGUUUCUCCAGGAUAUUAAGGUGUUUGAGCUACUUAAGUUCUUAUUUUUUGGAACCAAAAGGUUGGAUGAAUUGGCUAAAAGUCAGUUUUGUCAUACUGGUUGUUUCAGGAAGAGAAAGGGAAUUUUCUUAUUUACUAUUUUGUGUCUCACUUAGCCUGAAAGCUUUAAUUCCUCAGAAUAGUCUUUAUGUCCGUGAAAGUAAGCCAUGUGUAAAAUUGUAAUUUUUAAAAUUUCAGUUUCCCAGUUCACUAUAAAUUUUUUUUUGUUCUUUUCUCCCUUGAAUGGCUUGGCUUAAAAUGUUUUCUUAUAAUAAAGAAAAAGCCUGCCUGUUCUGAGUGAAGCUCUACCUCACAACAGGAAGCUGGUGCUAAUUGGUAUUCUGCAGGAGGCUUCUUGCAGUGGUAUUGCAUAACUGCCCUUGACUUAGGAAGAUUUUCAUCCUGCAUAUCCUAAAUGGUUGACUUGCUCACAGUCAAAAAUGUCUAAGUACAUUUAGAUUUAGCUAAUGUAGAUUCAGAUUCUGAAUGUCUUUUAGAAUAUUUUGGGCUUUGGUAUAGACUCAAAAGAAUUUCACAUUUUUGGCUGGGCACAGUGGUUCACGCCUGUUAUUUCAGCACUUUGGGAGGCCGAGGCGGGCGGAUCACCUGAGGUCAGGAGUUCGAGACCAGCCUGACCAACAUGGUGAAACCUCGUCUCUACUAAUAUUACAAAAAUUAGCUGGGCAUGUUGGCAGGCGCCUAUAAUUUCUUUGGGAGGCUGAGGCAGGAGAAUCACUUGAACCCGGGAGGCGGAGGUUGCAGUGAGCCGAGUCGUGCCAUUGCAGUCCACCCAGCCUAGGCGACAGAGUGAAACUCCACCUCAAAAAAAAAAAAAAGUUAUUUUAAAAUAAAGAUUAACUAAUUUCCUUAUUGAAUGUGAGAUGAAUUGCUCUGAAAAGAUGUGUUUUUAAAACACAACAUAGCUUUGUUGUUGCUGUUAUUACGGAGUUUUGCUCUGUCGCCCAGGCUAGAGUGCAGUGGCGCAAUCUCAGCCCACUGCAACCUCUGCCUCCCGGGUUCAAGCACUUCUCUCCCUCAACCUCCCGAGUAGCUGGGAUUACAGGUGCCCACCACCACGCCCGGCUAAUUUGUUAUAUUUUUAGUAGAGACGGGUUUCACCAUCUUUGCCAGGCUGAUCUUGAGCUCCUGUCCUCAUGAUCUACUCACCUUGGCCUCUCAAAGUGCUGGGAUUAUAGGCGUGAGCCACCGUGCCCAGCUCAACGUGGCCUGUUUAACUUGAGUUUUACAUUUUUUAAAUUCCCCUUAGAGAAUGAUUUGAUCAGAUUAUUAAUUGCUCAUAUUUCAGAGAAAGCACGAGAAAAUAUAGUUGUGACAUCACUUUCUGUAAUUUUUUCUUUUUAGAGGAGGUUUUACAAGUUUUCAUUUGCAAUGAAAACACAAGCCUAAAUCUUACUUUUCCAAACUGGGCUUCUGAAUUAUAAUUUGUGAAUGCAAAUCAAGCAGUGGAAAAAUUAUCUUUAAGAAAAUAGCUUAUGUCGCUUUAAAAAAUAAAAUUAAUCCUUUCCUAAGCAUGCUUCCAUCUGUAUUGUCUAGGGAACAUCAAUUCAUUCAGCUCUGCGGGCUCCUUACUGUAUACAUAUAGUUAUGCAGCUUCAUAGAACAUGAGCUAUUGCCACAAUAAAAAUAAGUGGGAAGGAGCAGAGAAGCAGUUUGUCUUAUUUUACUCGGGAAAUGUUUAUGCAACUCUGAAAUGUGAGUUUAUUCUUCCCAAGCUUUUGUGCUUAGCUCUAAGGCAGGACUACCUAAUACCACUCUCACAGCCAGCCAUUUGAAAUUUGGGAUUCUGAGCAAUCUAAAGAGUAACUUGUCUCUGGAACUGACCUUUUGCUGACCGGGAGUCCUCAUAACUUGGGUUUUGUGUGGGUUGUUGUGUCUUUGGUGCCACUGCUGCUCAUUCAUUCAGCACCUCAGUGAUGCUGUUUUUCAUACUGUUCGAUUGGUCGGGGGUGUGAUGGGCGAAGCAGUCUAAUAUAAUUAAGCUAGUUAGGGUAAGGGACAGUACUGCUGAUGCUGAGUGAGCCUCAGUGAGUUUUAUUAAAGUUGUUUUCGUAAAUGAAAAAGGUUGUUUGCCUUUGUCCUAAGCUAACAAAGGUAGUUUAUUUGUGUAGUAUUUUUUAAAAAUCCCUUUUAAAUACUCUGAUGCGCUCUCCCCCUACAGAUGUUCAUUCUGGACAGAGUGGAAGGUGAUACUUGUUCCCUUAAUGAGUUUACCAUAACUGGAUCAACUUAUGCACCUAUUGGAGAAGUGCAUAAAGAUGAUAAACCAGUGAAAUGUCACCAGUAUGAUGGUCUGGUAGAAUUAGCAACAAUUUGUGCUCUUUGUAAUGACUCUGCUUUGGAUUACAAUGAGGCAAAGGGUGUGUAUGAAAAAGUUGGAGAAGCUACAGAGACUGCUCUCACUUGCCUAGUAGAGAAGAUGAAUGUAUUUGAUACCGAAUUGAAGGGUCUUUCUAAAAUAGAACGUGCAAAUGCCUGCAACUCAGUGAGUAUUUGAACCUGGUUUAUUGUUCAUGCUGCUUAUCUGUCGUACUAUAUAUACUUAGUGUCUGCACUGUCCUACUCUCUUAGAAAACUAAUUAUACCUUAUCUCCUCAAACUUACAGUAUUUCCUUCCCCAUAUUCACUCUCAG